CAAGGGAACAAGUCUAGUUGAUGAUAUAGGGAGUUACCUGUUUUUACUGCUGCAUUCAUCCACUGUCAAACCGCGAAACAUAUAAUAUAGUAAUCUUGCGUUCGUAUUUUACUGAAAAAUAGAAUUAGGUGUGUUUCGUUCACUAUGGUAUUAUUGGCCAAUUUUAGCUUUGUAUCCAAAUGGAACAUGUGACCGAGAUUCUGACUGUCUUGAUCCCGUUGGCUACCACUGCUGUAAAGGUACCACGUGGUGUUGCCCUGAUGAGUACAUAUGUACCGCAACCAAAACUUGUAUUAGCAACAUCGGGCUCGGGCAUGAACAAAGUACCGGAUAUGAAGAGAAUAAGAGACGUCGAAGCACGUUCCGUGUCGGUAAAAUCGUAGGCAGUUUUUUGGUCCUAUCGGAAUUGGCGGUGUCUGUGGCUGCUGCUUUAUAAAGAACAAGAGCAAAGGGAAUACGUCAGAUUCUCAAAUUCCAGUUGAAUAUCAAGCUCAACCGCCAGCUGAACCUCCCUCUGAACCUCUAGCUCAACUGUCAGUCCAACCUUUAGCUAGAUUUUCAGCUCAACCUCCAGAUGAGCCCCUACCUGCAUACACAAGAUUAUGACCCGGCUGAGGAUGGACUACUGCUUGUGAUUUAUGUCAUAAUCGCAAUUUUUCAAAUCAACCGGUGAUUUUUGGCAAAAAUGCUGAUUUAAUUUGCCGGUUACU
Molecule: long non-coding RNA, 710 nt
Organism: Magallana angulata
Lineage: Eukaryota; Metazoa; Mollusca; Bivalvia; Ostreida; Ostreidae
Exons: 4
Source: RefSeq, a predicted model, not a curated record